UACGAAGGGUGCUAGCGUUGUUCGGAAUUACUGGGCGUAAAGCGCGCGUAGGCGGCUUUUCAAGUCAGGGGUGAAAUCCCACGGCUCAACCGUGGAAUUGCCUUUGAAACUGUAAAGCUCGAGUGUCGGAGGGGAUAGCGGAAUUGCUAAUGUAGAGGUGAAAUUCGUAGAUAUUAGCAGGAACACCGGUGGCGAAGGCGGCUAUCUGGACGACAACUGACGCUGAGGCGCGAAAGCGUGGGGAUCAAACAGG
RNAcentral lists this ribosomal RNA (253 nucleotides) under uncultured bacterium. RNAcentral describes it as "partial 16S ribosomal RNA". It matches the Rfam family "Bacterial small subunit ribosomal RNA", at positions 524 to 776 of the family's 1533-position model. The record is from RNAcentral.